CAGGGUGUAGUUCAUCGGUAGAACGCUGGGCUGGGGGUCCAGAUGUAGCAGGUUCAAUUCCUGUCACCCUGA
RNAcentral lists this transfer RNA (72 nucleotides) under Candidatus Daviesbacteria bacterium. RNAcentral's name for it is "tRNA-Pro". It matches the Rfam family "tRNA". Rfam says of the family: Transfer RNA (tRNA) molecules are approximately 80 nucleotides in length. Their secondary structure includes four short double-helical elements and three loops (D, anti-codon, and T loops). The record is from RNAcentral. Lineage: Bacteria; Candidatus Daviesiibacteriota.